CCUACGGGUGGCAGCAGUGAGGAAUAUUGGUCAAUGGACGAGAGUCUGAACCAGCCAAGUAGCGUGAAGGAUGACUGCCCUAUGGGUUGUAAACUUCUUUUAUAUGGGAAUAAAACGUUCCACGUGUGGGAUUUUGUAUGUACCAUAUGAAUAAGGAUCGGCUAACUCCGUGCCAGCAGCCGCGGUAAUACGGAGGAUCCGAGCGUUAUCCGGAUUUAUUGGGUUUAAAGGGAGCGUAGGUGGAUUGUUAAGUCAGUUGUGAAAGUUUGCGGCUCAACCAUAAAAUUGCAGUUGAAACUGGCAGUCUUGAGUACAGUAGAGGUGGGCGGAAUUCGUGGUGUAGCGGUGAAAUGCUUAGAUAUCACGAAGAACUCCGAUUGCGAAGGCAGUUCACUGGACUGCAACUGACACUGAGGCUCGAAAGUGUGGGUAUCAAACAGGAUUAGUACCCCAGUAGUC
This 459-nucleotide ribosomal RNA is filed under the name uncultured bacterium. Its description in RNAcentral is "partial 16S ribosomal RNA". It matches the Rfam family "Bacterial small subunit ribosomal RNA", at positions 338 to 795 of the family's 1533-position model. The record is from RNAcentral.